RNAcentral lists this ribosomal RNA (440 nucleotides) under uncultured bacterium. RNAcentral describes it as "partial 16S ribosomal RNA". It matches the Rfam family "Bacterial small subunit ribosomal RNA", at positions 338 to 795 of the family's 1533-position model. The record is from RNAcentral.
CCUACGGGUGGCAGCAGUGGGGAAUAUUGCACAAUGGGGGAAACCCUGACGCAGCGACGCCGCGUGAGCGAUGAAGUAUUUCGGUAUGUAAAGCUCUAUCAGCAGGGAAGAAAAUGACGGUACCUGACUAAGAAGCCCCGGCUAACUACGUGCCAGCAGCCGCGGUAAUACGUAGGGGGCAAGCGUUAUCCGGAUUUACUGGGUGUAAAGGGAGCGUAGACGGGGGUGCAAGCCAGAUGUGAAAGCCCGGGGCUCAACCCCGGGACUGCAUUUGAAACUGUGCUGCUAGAGUGUCGGAGAGGCAGGCGGAAUUCGUGGUGUAGCGGUGAAAUGCGUAGAGAUUAGGAGGAACACCGGUGGCGAAGGCGGCCUGCUGGACCAUGACUGACGUUGAGGCACGAAAGCGUGGGGAGCAAACAGGAUUAGAUACCCGUGUAGUC